AAACUAACUAGGAUUCCCUUAGUAACGGCGAGUGAACCGGGAUGAGCUCAAAUUUGAAAUCUGGCGUCUUUCAGGCGUCCGAGUUGUAAUCUAUAGAGGCGUUUUCCGCGCCGGACCGCGUCCAAGUCUCUUGGAAUAGAGUAUCAAAGAGGGUGACAAUCCCGUACUUGACGCGACAACCGGUGCUCUGUGAUACGUUCUCAACGAGUCGAGUUGUUUGGGAAUGCAGCUCUAAAUGGGUGGUAAAUUCCAUCUAAGGCUAAAUAUUGGCGAGAGACCGAUAGCGAACAAGUACCGUGAGGGAAAGAUGAAAAGCACUUUGGAAAGAGAGUUAAACAGCACGUGAAAUUGUUAAAAGGGAAACGAUUGAAGUCAGUCGUGUGAAAGGUAUUCAGCCGUCUCUGGCGGUGUAUUUGCCUUUCACGGGUCAACAUCAGUUUAGUCCGGUAGAAAAAGGCUGGAGGAAGGUGGCACCCUCGGGUGUGUUAUAGCCUCCUGUCACAUGUGCCGGAUUAGACUGAGGAACGCAGCUUGCCGCAAGGCCGGGGUUCGCCCACGUACAAGCUUAGGAUGUUGACAUAAUGGCUUUAAACGAC
Molecule: ribosomal RNA, 596 nt
Filed under: Vishniacozyma aff. victoriae
Lineage: Eukaryota; Fungi; Basidiomycota; Tremellomycetes; Tremellales; Bulleribasidiaceae
Description: eukaryotic LSU rRNA
Rfam family: Eukaryotic large subunit ribosomal RNA
Source: RNAcentral